Molecule: transfer RNA, 74 nt
Filed under: Pseudomonadota bacterium
Lineage: Bacteria; Pseudomonadati; Pseudomonadota
Also listed under: 2 other names
Description: tRNA-Arg
Rfam family: tRNA
About the family: Transfer RNA (tRNA) molecules are approximately 80 nucleotides in length.
Source: RNAcentral
GCGCCGAUAGCUCAACUGGAUAGAGCGCCAGACUACGGAUCUGGAGGCUGGGGGUUCAACUCCUCCUCGGCGCG